GGGGACGCCAAGGUUUCGACGGGAUGUAUGGGUGGCGUUGGGAGCAGGCGGAGGCUGGGGUGCCCUCCUUAAUCAGGACUCCAAACCUUAAGUGCCAAUGACACUUACGCAAUGGCUGCCUAAUUAAAAUAAGGUAGUCUGUCGCCGCCGGGGAAUGUCUGGCGAACCCGCCCGCGAUAUCAAAACUUAGCUGGACUGGCCCGUGGACCGCCGCGCAAACGGGUGAGAUUAAGUGGCUGGCUUCCGAUAGAUUUGGGGUUGGGACGACCCGGAAGCAAGAUUUUCAUCCAACUCCUAAGCCUGUAGCGCCCGACGUGGUCCGCUUCUCGGACGCGGGUUCGAUUCCCGCCGUCUCCACAA
RNAcentral lists this transfer-messenger RNA (360 nucleotides) under bacterium. RNAcentral describes it as "JABWCQ01 sp020637445 Standard tmRNA". It matches the Rfam family "transfer-messenger RNA". From Rfam's summary of the family: Bacterial tmRNA, also known as 10Sa RNA or SsrA, is named for its dual tRNA and mRNA-like properties. Its role is to liberate the mRNA from a stalled ribosome. To accomplish this part of the tmRNA is used as a reading frame that ends in a translation stop signal. RNAcentral also lists the same sequence under 1 other name. The record is from RNAcentral.